GACGAACGCUGGCGGCGUGCUUAACACAUGCAAGUCGAACGGAAAGGCCCUGCUUUUGUUGGUUGCACGAUUGGCGAACGGGUGAGUAACACGUGAGUAACCCCUCCUUGACUUUGGGAUAACUUCACGAAACUGGGGCUCAUACCGGAUAGGAGAUCCUGCAGCAUGGUGGGGGUUGGAAAGUUUCGGCGGUUGGGGCUGGACUCGCGGCUUAUCAGCUUGUUGGUGUGGUAGUGGCUUACCAAGGCUAUGACGGGUAGCCGGCCUGAGAGGGUUACCAGGGACAAUGGGACUAAGGUAGGCACCAGUCUCCAACGGGAGGCAGCAGGCGAGAGUAUGACGCAGUGGGCGGGAGCGUGAGGCGACGGCGCCGCGUGCGGGAUGACGGCCUACGGGGUGUAAACCGCUUUGGCCUGAGACGAAGCGUGAUUGACGGUAAUGAGUAAAGAAGCAACGGCUAACUACGUG
Molecule: ribosomal RNA, 468 nt
Filed under: uncultured bacterium
Lineage: Bacteria
Description: partial 16S ribosomal RNA
Rfam family: Bacterial small subunit ribosomal RNA
Source: RNAcentral